RNAcentral lists this long non-coding RNA (1987 nucleotides) under Chinchilla lanigera (long-tailed chinchilla). RNAcentral's name for it is "lncRNA (ENSCLAG00000024641.1)". The record is from RNAcentral. Lineage: Eukaryota; Metazoa; Chordata; Mammalia; Rodentia; Chinchillidae.
AGCCAACUCAUGGUGACUGGGGUAGGGAAUGCACCAGAACCACUUCUGACCUCACCCUCGUCCUUCUCAGAUCUGACAAAGUAGCUUCCUCUGGCGGAACUAAGCCCACAUCCUGCUAGAGAGGGAGCCACUCUCUGCACACAGGGCAUGUGCAGGACAGUAUGCUUCUGGAGCAGCUCCUGUGCUCUGUGUGAGAGCUGAAGGGAAAGAGUGCUGCACCAGAACAGCUCGCCUGCUUUAUCUACAACAUGGGAACGCUGUUGGUAUAGGGUGGCUCCAGACAGGUACAGCAGGGACCUUGGCGUGGAGAAGCCACAGUUGCGGAGACCGAAUUGGAAAAGCAUCGCCAGUGGACCAUGUACAACAGAGUCAGGCUGGUGAAGGUUGCAUGUGCCCUGCAUCGAGGGACAAGAGGGCGCCAUGGGCACCAAGCACUUCACCACGGAGGAGCCCAGGGGCCUUGCCGGGAGGGGUGGGGCAGCCGUGCACACUGUGCACAAGGUUUUCUUCUGUGCACUCAUGCAUCACACUAGUCAUUCCUGGUAACAUUCACUAUUUAUAUUUUACUCAAAAUUCUAUUUAUACUGACUACUUCAAUGAUAAUUAACAGCACUCAGUGCAAAAAAAGUGAAUUCAUAUGCCAGGAUAGGAAUAACUCUCUUUGCAUUGGCACAGAAUCAGAUGAGAUAAAAACUGCAAGACCAGAUGAAAACCCACUUUCAAAAAAGUGCCAAGGUUUGACUUCUAGGUCUUAUAUAUUGGAAUUGUAUAUAGAUGUAUACAUUCUAUAUAGCCCUUAGAACUUUUGCUACCAGUCUUCCUAGUAAGGGCAUCUCAGGUUCAUGGGAAAUAGAUCUUUGAGCUGAAUAUAAUUUUUUUGAGGUACUAGGGCUUGAAGAACCUAGGGCCUUCCUAGGCAAGGGUUUAUCGUGGAAUUACACCCCCAGGACUUUUUACUCUUUAUCUUAAGCAAGGUUUCACUAAAUUGCUCAAACUGGCUUCAAACUUAUAAUCCUCCUGCCUUAGCCUUCCCAGUAUGUGGGACUGUAGGCAAGUGCCACCAUGCUGGGCUCAUCUAUGUGUUUUGAAUCUUAAUCUAACCUGGAAGAAAAUUCGAUAAAAUUCUAACUCUGAAUUUUUUCCUUUCUCUUCUUUUAUUUUCCAGGUCAGGUUUGAUUCAAUUUGCAGCCUUCAUUAACUAGUACACAGUAUAACCCUACUUCCUGCUUGUGUUCCCGGAAGUCCCUGCUCAUAGGUCACAGAGAACAGCCAGCUGAGCGGCAGUGCUGACGUCCACCAGCUGCCACUCCUGACGUGGAGAGUGCUGGAACCUGUGCCCCUUGGUGUUAGCCGAAGCUAAGAUUCAACUCUGACCUACCAGAAUUGCAAACGUGUAAGCAGUGCAGCUCAUGACAGGGCCCAGCCUAGGUAGCUUCUUCUACUUUGGCAAGAGGCAGUUUGUAAGUCAUGACAGGGGAAAUAGGUACAGCAUGUAUUCUGGACGGAAUUGUGUCUUCCCACUAUCCCGACUCCCGUGUUGAAUCCCUAACCCUGAAUGUGACUGCACUUAGUAAUAGGAACUUAAAAGAGGCAAUAAAGGUUAAAGGAGGUCAUGAGGGUGGGGCCCUAAUCCCACAUGACUGAUGUCUUUAUACGAAAAGGGAGAAACACCUGGGAGGCGCAGGCACAGAGAGCAGGCUCGGGAGGGUCAGGAGAGGGAGGGAGUGGGAGGGAGGGGCAAGGAGAAGGAAGCAGAAAGCAUGAAGAGGUGCCCUGUGCACCUACCAGCUCCCAGCGUGAAUGGAACCAUCGUGUGCUGCAAACACGACUAACAAAAAUAAGACAAGAAGUUGUUAGAAUUUAACAUAUGAGAUGUCUGUCUGCAAGCCACGGCAAGAGAUUGCAGGACAAACCAGCACUGCUAAUGCUUUGAUCUUGUACUUCUAGACUAUAGAAUUAUGAAAAAUAAAUUUCCAUCAUUCAAGCC